GUGCUGCAUUAGUCAGACGAUUUAAUAAAAAGAAACACAUUUUUGAAAAUGUGUUUAUUAGCAGUCUAGUCAGUUUAGAUUGGAAUCUUGAACAGUUUUAAUCUGAUUUAAUCGAGGAAAACAGAAUGAAGAGACUAGAUGUUCUUCAAAUCUUGGCAGAAAGGAAUGAAAGAAGAAAACGCGAACUGGAGCUCAAUGGUUUACCGUCAGAAAGCAAUGAUUGUUUGCCCAUAACCCAAAAUUUUUCAGACUCCAUCCUCGUUGAAUCAUCAUCCCAGAGUGCUUCGUCAAAAAGUAGUAGACAGGAAGAAUUAAAUCGUGCUACAGUUCUGGAUAUUUUUUAUGACACACACGUUUAUCGUUUUUAUUCAGAAGGGCAAUCAAUUACAACGAUCACUGAAAACCUGCAAAUUAUCAUGUGAUAUUUGUUCUUUCUAAUGUCAGUGACAACAAGCAAAGAUGUGGCAGAAGUGUGUCUUAAGAUUCUUUCAGAAAAAAUAUCAGUUAAAACUCAACAAUUCUGUGCUAUUGAAGUGCCUGAUUUACUUAUAGUCCUGAUGAAUUUUGGUACUGUUCUAAGUAAGCUUUGGCCUGCGGCUUUGGACAUUUCUUUUCCUCGCCCAUUCCGGAAAUUUUCCAUGAACAGUUUCGAUUCGGAAAAACAUCAUGUCCCUUACCCUCGCUUUCUAUUUGGAGAAAAUAUUGUCUCUUCAGUUUCAAUGUGUAAAUCCCUAUUUUUCCGAGAACGAGAAAAUUGGAAUGUGCAACCUUUUGCUAAAUCUUUACAUGGCCAAUUUUAUAGCUGGAGACACUUUUCUAAUAACUCACAAAAUCAGAGACAUUAUAUCACAUAUACUUGAAAGUUUUACAGUAGAGGAAUGGAGUGAACUUAAUUUCAAAAUGAUUGAAGAACUUGUUUUGCAGCGUUGGAUUGAGAACCUGGAACCUACAGCGAUUGUUCAACGGAUUACGUACAGUAUACCAACGACUACAAGCCGUGGAGUGAUGUUUCAGCAGUCUGCCGCCUACUUUGCGAUACAACAUCUCAUGAAUUUGGAAGAAGUUGACCUUCCCGGCCGUGUUUCGGUGAAAGACGUAAAUCGAUUGGUUGAUUUGUUAAGUCGGCAAAAAAUUAUCGGACGUUCAGCAUAGUUACUUUGCUCCGUUUAACCUUGGACGUUAAUGAUCCGUCGAUAAAAAAAAAAGAAAUGAAAAAUCUUCACAUAAAGUUGAGCGAAGUCCGUCAUGGAAUCAAUGAUCUUUCGGAUAAGUUGGAUACAACUCCAAUGCUUGUUAAAGAUUUAAUGUGUGAGAUUUCGCUCUUCUGGAAAAACUCCAUUCCUAUUGAUAAUGUUGUGCGAGUAAAUUAAACAGCUGCCAACCGACGAUGGGCUCCCAUUUAUUUUCCAACGACCACCAGUAUCCUUUCCGGUUGUAUAGAAGAUGAUGAAAACGUGUAGUGCCUUACACUUUUCAGUGAUAGAUUCUGAUAUAAUUAUUUUUCUAUUGUUUAUUGAUGCCACUUGGAAUACUAACAGAUUCAGCGUCUUUUCAAAUA
RNAcentral lists this long non-coding RNA (1558 nucleotides) under Daphnia pulicaria. RNAcentral describes it as "uncharacterized LOC124338158, transcript variant X1". Lineage: Eukaryota; Metazoa; Arthropoda; Branchiopoda; Diplostraca; Daphniidae. The record is from RNAcentral.